Non-coding RNA from Salmo salar (Atlantic salmon), 54 nucleotides. Lineage: Eukaryota; Metazoa; Chordata; Actinopteri; Salmoniformes; Salmonidae. The record is from Rfam.
UGCAUUCACUACUAUAAGUCGCUUUGGAUAAGAGCGUCUGCUAAAUGACUAAAA